Molecule: ribosomal RNA, 2579 nt
Filed under: Escherichia coli
Lineage: Bacteria; Pseudomonadati; Pseudomonadota; Gammaproteobacteria; Enterobacterales; Enterobacteriaceae
Description: partial 23S ribosomal RNA
Rfam family: Bacterial large subunit ribosomal RNA
Source: RNAcentral
GUACACAAAAAUGCACAUAUUGUGAGCUCGAUGAGUAGGGCGGGACACGUGGUAUCCUGUCUGAAUAUGGGGGGACCAUCCUCCAAGGCUAAAUACUCCUGACUGACCGAUAGUGAACCAGUACCGUGAGGGAAAGGCGAAAAGAACCCCGGCGAGGGGAGUGAAAAAGAACCUGAAACCGUGUACGUACAAGCAGUGGGAGCCUCUUUAUGGGGUGACUGCGUACCUUUUGUAUAAUGGGUCAGCGACUUAUAUUCUGUAGCAAGGUUAACCGAAUAGGGGAGCCGAAGGGAAACCGAGUCUUAACUGGGCGUUAAGUUGCAGGGUAUAGACCCGAAACCCGGUGAUCUAGCCAUGGGCAGGUUGAAGGUUGGGUAACACUAACUGGAGGACCGAACCGACUAAUGUUGAAAAAUUAGCGGAUGACUUGUGGCUGGGGGUGAAAGGCCAAUCAAACCGGGAGAUAGCUGGUUCUCCCCGAAAGCUAUUUAGGUAGCGCCUCGUGAAUUCAUCUCCGGGGGUAGAGCACUGUUUCGGCAAGGGGGUCAUCCCGACUUACCAACCCGAUGCAAACUGCGAAUACCGGAGAAUGUUAUCACGGGAGACACACGGCGGGUGCUAACGUCCGUCGUGAAGAGGGAAACAACCCAGACCGCCAGCUAAGGUCCCAAAGUCAUGGUUAAGUGGGAAACGAUGUGGGAAGGCCCAGACAGCCAGGAUGUUGGCUUAGAAGCAGCCAUCAUUUAAAGAAAGCGUAAUAGCUCACUGGUCGAGUCGGCCUGCGCGGAAGAUGUAACGGGGCUAAACCAUGCACCGAAGCUGCGGCAGCGACACUAUGUGUUGUUGGGUAGGGGAGCGUUCUGUAAGCCUGUGAAGGUGGCCUGUGAGGGUUGCUGGAGGUAUCAGAAGUGCGAAUGCUGACAUAAGUAACGAUAAAGCGGGUGAAAAGCCCGCUCGCCGGAAGACCAAGGGUUCCUGUCCAACGUUAAUCGGGGCAGGGUGAGUCGACCCCUAAGGCGAGGCCGAAAGGCGUAGUCGAUGGGAAACAGGUUAAUAUUCCUGUACUUGGUGUUACUGCGAAGGGGGGACGGAGAAGGCUAUGUUGGCCGGGCGACGGUUGUCCCGGUUUAAGCGUGUAGGCUGGUUUUCCAGGCAAAUCCGGAAAACCAAGGCUGAGGCGUGAUGACGAGGCACUACGGUGCUGAAGCGACAAAUGCCCUGCUUCCAGGAAAAGCCUCUAAGCAUCAGGUAACAUCAAAUCGUACCCCAAACCGACACAGGUGGUCAGGUAGAGAAUACCAAGGCGCUUGAGAGAACUCGGGUGAAGGAACUAGGCAAAAUGGUGCCGUAACUUCGGGAGAAGGCACGCUGAUAUGUAGGUGAAGCGACUUGCUCGUGGAGCUGAAAUCAGUCGAAGAUACCAGCUGGCUGCAACUGUUUAUUAAAAACACAGCACUGUGCAAACACGAAAGUGGACGUAUACGGUGUGACGCCUGCCCGGUGCCGGAAGGUUAAUUGAUGGGGUUAGCGGCAACGCGAAGCUCUUGAUCGAAGCCCCGGUAAACGGCGGCCGUAACUAUAACGGUCCUAAGGUAGCGAAAUUCCUUGUCGGGUAAGUUCCGACCUGCACGAAUGGCGUAAUGAUGGCCAGGCUGUCUCCACCCGAGACUCAGUGAAAUUGAACUCGCUGUGAAGAUGCAGUGUACCCGCGGCAAGACGGAAAGACCCCGUGAACCUUUACUAUAGCUUGACACUGAACAUUGAGCCUUGAUGUGUAGGAUAGGUGGGAGGCUUUGAAGUGUGGACGCCAGUCUGCAUGGAGCCGACCUUGAAAUACCACCCUUUAAUGUUUGAUGUUCUAACGUGGGCCCCUAAUCGGGGUUGCGGACAGUGUCUGGUGGGUAGUUUGACUGGGGCGGUCUCCUCCUAAAGAGUAACGGAGGAGCACGAAGGUUGGCUAAUCCUGGUCGGACAUCAGGAGGUUAGUGCAAUGGCAUAAGCCAGCUUGACUGCGAGCGUGACGGCGCGAGCAGGUGCGAAAGCAGGUCAUAGUGAUCCGGUGGUUCUGAAUGGAAGGGCCAUCGCUCAACGGAUAAAAGGUACUCCGGGGAUAACAGGCUGAUACCGCCCAAGAGUUCAUAUCGACGGCGGUGUUUGGCACCUCGAUGUCGGCUCAUCACAUCCUGGGGCUGAAGUAGGUCCCAAGGGUAUGGCUGUUCGCCAUUUAAAGUGGUACGCGAGCUGGGUUUAGAACGUCGUGAGACAGUUCGGUCCCUAUCUGCCGUGGGCGCUGGAGAACUGAGGGGGGCUGCUCCUAGUACGAGAGGACCGGAGUGGACGCAUCACUGGUGUUCGGGUUGUCAUGCCAAUGGCACUGCCCGGUAGCUAAAUGCGGAAGAGAUAAGUGCUGAAAGCAUCUAAGCACGAAACUUGCCCCGAGAUGAGUUCUCCCUGACUCCUUGAGGGUCCUGAAGGAACGUUGAAGACGACGACGUUGAUAGGCCGGGUGUGUAAGCGCAGCGAUGCGUUGAGCUAACCGGUACUAAUGAACCGUGAGGCUUAACCUUACAACGCCGAAG